Molecule: ribosomal RNA, 377 nt
Filed under: uncultured bacterium
Lineage: Bacteria
Description: bacterial SSU rRNA
Rfam family: Bacterial small subunit ribosomal RNA
Source: RNAcentral
AGACGUAGGGGGCUAGCGUUGUUCGGAAUUACUGGGCGUAAAGGGCGUGUAGGCGGCCUUGCAAGUCAGUGGUGAAACACCUGGGCUUAACCGAGGUAUUGCCGUUGAAACUGCAGGGCUUGAGGGUAGAAGAGGAGUGUGGAAUUCCCGGUGUAGCGGUGAAAUGCGUAGAGAUCGGGAGGAACACCAGUGGCGAAGGCGGCACUCUGGUCUACCCCUGACGCUGAGGCGCGAAAGCUAGGGGAGCAAACAGGAUUAGAUACCCUGGUAGUCCUAGCCGUAAACGAUGGGCACUAGGUGUAGGAGGUUUAGAUACCUUCUGUGCCGUAGCUAACGCAUUAAGUGCCCCGCCUGGGGAGUACGGUCGCAAGGCUGAA